RNAcentral lists this ribosomal RNA (492 nucleotides) under uncultured bacterium. Its description in RNAcentral is "partial 16S ribosomal RNA". It matches the Rfam family "Bacterial small subunit ribosomal RNA", at positions 29 to 507 of the family's 1533-position model. The record is from RNAcentral.
AGUGAACGCUGGCGGUAGGCCUAACACAUGCAAGUCGAACGGCAGCACAGUAAGAGCUUGCUCUUACGGGUGGCGAGUGGCGGACGGGUGAGGAAUACAUCGGAAUCUACUUUUUCGUGGGGGAUAACGUAGGGAAACUUACGCUAAUACCGCAUACGACCUACGGGUGAAAGCAGGGGAUCUUCGGACCUUGCGCGAUUGAAUGAGCCGAUGUCGGAUUAGCUAGUUGGCGGGGUAAAGGCCCACCAAGGCGACGAUCCGUAGCUGGUCUGAGAGGAUGAUCAGCCACACUGGAACUGAGACACGGUCCAGACUCCUACGGGAGGCAGCAGUGGGGAAUAUUGGACAAAGGGCGAAAGCCUGAUCCAGCCAUACCGCGUGGGUGAAGAAGGCCUUCGGGUUGUAAAGCCCUUUUGUUGGGAAAGAAAAGCGGCAGGUUAAUACCCCGCUGUUCUGACGGUACCCAAAGAAUAAGCACCGGCUAACUUCGUG